CACUGUGACUUUCCUACCACCUCUCCCUCCACUCAGACGUGGAGUCAAGCUUGAGGAAUGCAAUGGGAAUGGGAACUGGUGGCUGGCUGUGUGGACAGAAGGCAGAGAACUGAAAAAUCUUAUGAGAUUCUGCAGAUAAUGAAAAGAAAAAACCUGGAAGAUUCUCCAAAGUGUAUCAAGAAAACUGGGAAGCAGGAUGCCAAGAAAACAAGUGGCUUGCUUCAGCUCUGAGACCUGACAGGCAUGGGAAUGUCAACAAAGAAGAAGUACUCAAAAGCACUACUGCUCCCAGGGACUGAGAUGCCUUUGUUUAGUGUCUGGGGUGAGGAAAGGAAGGACAAGAAUUUUAAGUCUCCAAUGCUGAGAAGACC
This is a long non-coding RNA of Passer domesticus (house sparrow), 371 nucleotides long. RefSeq lists it as uncharacterized. The record is from RefSeq and is a predicted model, not a curated record. NCBI's taxonomy places the organism in Eukaryota, Metazoa, Chordata, Aves, Passeriformes, Passeridae. The transcript is spliced from 3 exons.